UUUCCGUAAGUGAACCUGCGGAAGGAUCAUUAAUGAGUUGUCAUGGGGUUCGAUGCUGGCAGCCAGUUUUUGGAUGCAUGUGCUUGCCCUAACAAUCAUCUUCUUCCAAACACCUGUGCACAUUUCUGAGGGAGUCUUGAGUUGGUUGCCGCUCUUGGGUGAUUUUCUCACAUUCCCUUAAAUCAUUAUACGCUAUUAACAAUGUUGAACGUGCUCUGUGCCGCAAGGCCAUUAAUAUAAUACAACUUUUAACAACGGAUCUCUUGGCUCUCGCAUCGACGAAGAACGCAGC
Molecule: unclassified non-coding RNA, 292 nt
Filed under: plant metagenome
Description: partial contains small subunit ribosomal RNA, internal transcribed spacer 1, and 5.8S ribosomal RNA
Rfam family: 5.8S ribosomal RNA (bases 244-292)
Source: RNAcentral